UGCCAGCCGCCGCGGUAAUACGAAGGGUGCUAGCGUUGUUCGGAAUUACUGGGCGUAAAGAGCAUGUAGGCGGAUGAAUUAGUCAGAGGUGAAAGCCCCGAGCUCAACUUGGGAACUGCCUUUGAAACCCCGGAACUUGAGUAUGGGAGAGGGAAGUGGAAUUUCUGGUGUGGCGGUGAAAUGCGUAGAUAACAGAAGGAAUACCGGUGGCGAAGGCGACUGUCUGGGCCAAUACUGACGCUGAGGUACGAAAGCGUGGGUAGCGAACAGGAUUAGAUA
Molecule: ribosomal RNA, 279 nt
Filed under: uncultured bacterium
Lineage: Bacteria
Description: partial 16S ribosomal RNA
Rfam family: Bacterial small subunit ribosomal RNA
Source: RNAcentral